UACGUAGGUGGCAAGCGUUGUCCGGAUUUAUUGGGCGUAAAGCGCGCGCAGGCGGUCCUUUAAGUCUGAUGUGAAAUCUCGCGGCUCAACCGCGAGCGGUCAUUGGAAACUGGGGGACUUGAGUGCAGAAGAGAAGAGCGGAAUUCCCGGUGUAGCGGUGAAAUGCGCAGAUAUCGGGAGGAACACCUAUGGCGAAGGCAGCUCGCUGGGACGUUACUGACGCUGAGACGCGAAAGCGUGGGGAGCAAACAGG
This 253-nucleotide ribosomal RNA is filed under the name uncultured bacterium. Its description in RNAcentral is "partial 16S ribosomal RNA". It matches the Rfam family "Bacterial small subunit ribosomal RNA", at positions 524 to 776 of the family's 1533-position model. The record is from RNAcentral.